Molecule: ribosomal RNA, 482 nt
Filed under: uncultured bacterium
Lineage: Bacteria
Description: partial 16S ribosomal RNA
Rfam family: Bacterial small subunit ribosomal RNA
Source: RNAcentral
AUUGAACGCUGGCGGCAUGCUUUACACAUGCCAGUCGAACGGUAACAGGCCGCAAGGUGCUGACACGUGGCGAACGGGUGAGUAAUGCAUCGGAACGUGCCCAGUCGUGGGGGAUAACUACUCGAAAGAGUAGCUAAUACCGCAUACGAUCUAUGGAUGAAAGCGUGGGACCGUAAGGCCUCGCGCGAUUGGAGCGGCCGAGGUUCGCUAGGGGAGUUGGUGGGGUAAAGUUUCACCAAGCCAACGAUCUGUAGCUGGUCUGAGAGGACGACCAGCCACACUGGAACUGAGACACGGCCCAGACUCCUACGGGAGGCAGCAGUGGGGAAUUUUGGACAAUGGGCGCAAGCCUGAUCCAGCAAUGCCGCGUGGAGGAAGAAGGCCUUCGGGUUGUAAACUGCUUUUGUACGGAAGGAAGCGGCUCUGGUUAAUACCCGGGGCUAAUGACGGUACCGUAAGAAUAAGCACCGGCUAACUACGUG